This 1743-nucleotide long non-coding RNA is filed under the name Callithrix jacchus (white-tufted-ear marmoset). RNAcentral's name for it is "lncRNA (ENSCJAG00000083391.1)". The record is from RNAcentral. Lineage: Eukaryota; Metazoa; Chordata; Mammalia; Primates; Cebidae.
GAAAAUUUUUACAUUUUUUUUUACUCCAUUUUUUCCUCUCUGUGUUCCACUCAGCCUAAACCAUCCCUAAAAAUGUGCUUAUUUGGAUGAGAAAGACUCUUAAUGCUAUGGAAGUCUGUGUGGAAACCCAGAAGCAGAAGGUUGACCAGAGGCAGCACAGAUAGGGGUUAGUUAUAUUGACCCCUUGGCUCCUCACCCUUGACCCUAGAAGGGCUUAGUGGCAAAAGGAGAGUUUCCUGCAGGCCUGCGUUCAUCCUUCCUGUUAGCCGAACUGAAGGAAAAAUACAAUGUACUAAAAAGGAGCCCCACCCUCAUUCCUCUGCCCCAUCUACUUCUUUCAGAGAAAUUAAAGAAGGAAAAUAGCCAUAUCCAUCAACAACCCUGAGGAUUCCUGACAAAUGGCCCUGAGGUAUAUCACACCACAUCAUUGGAAACAGGGAACAGGGUUGGGUUUAGCCCGUAUCAUUGGUUUUAGCUGUAAUUACUGUGUGGAAAAUUGCAGUAUUUUCCUUGCUCUAGAUUGGAUCUUCCCCCCUCAUGAAUACUGUGCUGGUCAGUACUACAUCUUACAAUCUUUUGCUGAUGUAAUUUUCAAAGGUGGAAUAUAUGUAAUGAGGAAUUAAUGUCUGUUGAAAAUACAUCGAGAAUGAGCUGCUGGAAACUUGCAUGCUGUUACGUUAGAAUAUGCAGGCAAGCUGAUAUAAUGCAUGUUGGAACAGUCCGGAAUGAGACAAUACUAAAAAUAUUUAUUUUGGGACCUGAGGGUAAUUUCCUUUUGUCCUGUCUAGCCGUACCCAAGAACUCAGUGGAGAUCCUUAAGGAAAGUGUGACUGGCCAUGGGGAGAGACCUAAAGGUGGGAUUCCAUUCAGUUGAUAGCAGGCCCUCACUGUUUGCAUGAAGCAAAGUUCAAAGAGCUGAGCACAAGGAAGGAAAGCAGUUGCUGAACAAUGAUGAAUGGGAUCCAAUGGGAGACACAAAAUCAAGCAGCAGGGAGCAAUUACUUAGCCCACUCUAUGAAAUAGUCAGGCUUUCCCAGCUCCACCCAGACUUCCCCCAGGGCCUGUUAGAAUUUUCAUGUACCCUAGGAUGCUUUUGUCUUUGUGGGUCCCUUCCUUCAUUAAAACAACACUAAAAAUUUUUAGUAUUAAAUAUAUUUUUAGUAUAUAAUAUUUUAUGACUGUGUUGAUAUAAAAACACAAAUAUUAAUAUUAUAUGUUAAAAUAUAUUUUUUUGAACCUAGAAUUUUUUCUUCUGUUUUUUGAAACAAGUUAAACGUUUUUGUGGGCUCCUAAAAGCAUAACUUUUGGCACUAUGCCAACUGCCUAAAGGAUAAGUCAGCCCUAACUGGAGUGGGGUAAGUGAGGAGAGGACUAGCAGAAUUAAUUGGAAUAAUAGCAGGGGAACAGAUCACAUGGGGCCCUCUAGGUCAUAGUACAAUGAAAAGGAUGUUGGAGUUUAUUUUCAUAAGUAAGAUGGGACAUUUUUGAGGGUUGUAAACAGAGAAGUGAUAUGACGUGAAACAUUUUAAAGGGAUAGUUUCUUUUGCAGAGACUAUGCUAUAGGAGGUAAGGAAGAACAUCAUAGAGACCAGUUAGGAGGCCAUUCUGGUAACCCAGGAAAGAGAUGGUAUGGCUUGUCCUAAGGUGAUGAUAGAGGUGAUAAGAAGUGGACAGGUUCUGAAUAGAUAUUAAAGGUAAAGGCAAAAAGGAUUUGGUGGUGGAUUGGAUAUUGAAUGUGAUAGG